Molecule: unclassified non-coding RNA, 390 nt
Filed under: soil metagenome
Description: partial contains 5.8S ribosomal RNA, internal transcribed spacer 2, and large subunit ribosomal RNA
Rfam family: 5.8S ribosomal RNA (bases 1-122)
Source: RNAcentral
GAUGAAGAACGUAGCGAAAUGCGAUACUUGGUGUGAAUUGCAGAAUCCCGUGAACCAUCGAGUCUUUGAACGCAAGUUGCGCCCGAAGCCAUUAGGCCGAGGGCACGCCUGCCUGGGCGUCACACGUCGUUGCCCCCCCAUCUACUCCUUUGGGAUUGCGGGGGGCGGAUGAUGGCCUCCCGUGCGCCUCGCCGCGCGGUUGGCAUAAAUGCCAAGUCCUCGGCGACGCACGCCACGACAAUCGGUGGUUGCGAAACCUCGGUUGCCCGUCGUGUGCGGUCGUCGCGCAUCGAGGGCUCGAAAAAAUUGCCGGGUUCCGGCUCGGCUUUCAACGCGACCCCAGGUCAGGCGGGGUUACCCGCUGAAUUUAAGCAUAUCAAAAGCGGAGGA